ACUCAAAAUUAGCACUUUAAGCAAUGG
RNAcentral lists this transfer RNA (27 nucleotides) under Clostridioides difficile. Its description in RNAcentral is "tRNA-Ala". The record is from RNAcentral. Lineage: Bacteria; Bacillati; Bacillota; Clostridia; Peptostreptococcales; Peptostreptococcaceae.